UUAAAGACUAUGACGGUGCACAGUAGAGUAUUUAUUUACAUGCAGAGAGAGAGGGUCACUGGCUGAAAGCCUUCUUAUGUUCAGAUAGUUACUUGAAAUUCACACCUAAGUUGCAUUCCUGAAGGAGUUGGAGUAGGGAAUGACGUGACUGCUCGUUACGCAGACUUAAGUGCCAGAUAGUUUAUCUGGAAUUAGGGUGGUACCGCGAUGACUUCGUCCCUUUG
Molecule: non-coding RNA, 224 nt
Filed under: Anaerostipes sp.
Lineage: Bacteria; Bacillati; Bacillota; Clostridia; Lachnospirales; Lachnospiraceae
Description: T-box sequence
Rfam family: T-box leader
About the family: Uncharged tRNA acts as the effector for transcription antitermination of genes in the T-box leader family.
Source: RNAcentral